AACACAUGCAAGUCGAGGGGCAGCAUUUUAGUUUGCUUGCAAACUGCAAGAUGGCGACCGGCGCACGGGUGAGUAACACGUAUCCAACCUGCCGAUAACUCCGGAAUAGCCUUUCGAAAGAAAGAUUAAUACCGGAUAGCAUACGAAUAUCGCAUGAUAUUUUUAUUAAAGAAUUUCGGUUAUCGAUGGGGAUGCGUUCCAUUAGUUUGUUGGCGGGGUAACGGCCCACCAAGACUACGAUGGAUAGGGGUUCUGAGAGGAAGGUCCCCCACAUUGGAACUGAGACACGGUCCAAACUCCUACGGGAGGCAGCAGUGAGGAAUAUUGGUCAAUGGGCGAGAGCCUGAACCAGCCAAGUAGCGUGAAGGAUGAAGGCUCUAUGGGUCGUAAACUUCUUUUAUAUGGGAAUAAAGUUUUCCACGUGUGGAAUUUUGUAUGUACCAUAUGAAUAAGGAUCGGCUAACUCCGUGCCAGCAGCCGCGGUAAUACGGAGGAUCCGAGCGUUAUCCGGAUUUAUUGGGUUUAAAGGGAGCGUAGGUGGAUUGUUAAGUCAGUUGUGAAAGUUUGCGGCUCAACCGUAAAAUUGCAGUUGAAACUGGCAGUCUUGAGUACAGUAGAGGUGGGCGGAAUUCGUGGUGUAGCGGUGAAAUGCUUAGAUAUCCACGAAGAACUCCGAUUGCGAAGGCAGCUCACUAGA
RNAcentral lists this ribosomal RNA (697 nucleotides) under uncultured Bacteroidales bacterium. RNAcentral's name for it is "bacterial SSU rRNA". It matches the Rfam family "Bacterial small subunit ribosomal RNA", at positions 50 to 733 of the family's 1533-position model. The record is from RNAcentral. Lineage: Bacteria; Pseudomonadati; Bacteroidota; Bacteroidia; Bacteroidales.